This 255-nucleotide ribosomal RNA is filed under the name uncultured bacterium. Its description in RNAcentral is "partial 16S ribosomal RNA". It matches the Rfam family "Bacterial small subunit ribosomal RNA", at positions 524 to 776 of the family's 1533-position model. The record is from RNAcentral.
GACGUAGGUGGCGAACGUUAUCCGGAAUUAUUGGGCGUAAAGGAUGCGUAGAUGGUGUAGUAAGUUAUCGGUGGCAAAUCGAGGCUCAACCUCGUGGAAGUCGGUAAUACUGCUAUGCUAGAGGAUAGGAGAGGUUAACGGAACUCCCUGUGGAGCGGUGAAAUGCGUAGAUAUAGGGAAGAACACCGAUCAGGCGAAGGCAGUUAACUAUUCUAUUCCUGACAUUGAGGCAUGAAAGCGUGGGGAGCAAAACGG